This 253-nucleotide ribosomal RNA is filed under the name uncultured bacterium. RNAcentral's name for it is "partial 16S ribosomal RNA". It matches the Rfam family "Bacterial small subunit ribosomal RNA", at positions 524 to 776 of the family's 1533-position model. The record is from RNAcentral.
UACGGAGGGGACUAGCGUUGUUCGGAAUUACUGGGCGUAAAGCGCACGUAGGCGGAUUUGUAAGUCAGGGGUGAAAUCCCGGGGCUCAACCUCGGAACUGCCUUUGAUACUGCAAAUCUCGAGUCCGGAAGAGGUGAGUGGAAUUCCUAGUGUAGAGGUGAAAUUCGUAGAUAUUAGGAAGAACACCAGUGGCGAAAGCGGCUCACUGGUCCGGUACUGACGCUGAGGUGCGAAAGCGUGGGGAGCAAACAGG